RNAcentral lists this ribosomal RNA (253 nucleotides) under uncultured bacterium. RNAcentral's name for it is "partial 16S ribosomal RNA". It matches the Rfam family "Bacterial small subunit ribosomal RNA", at positions 524 to 776 of the family's 1533-position model. The record is from RNAcentral.
UACAGAGGGUGCAAGCGUUGUUCGGAAUUAUUGGGCGUAAAGGGCGCGUAGGCGGUGCGGUAAGUCUUUUGUGAAAUCUCCGGGCUCAACUCGGAGUCUGCAGGAGAAACUGCCGUGCUUGAGUGUGGGAGAGGUGAGUGGAAUUCCCGGUGUAGCGGUGAAAUGCGUAGAUAUCAGGAAGAACACCCGUGGCGAAGGCGGCUCUCUGGGACGGUACUGACGCUGAGACGCGAAAGCGUGGGGAGCGAACAGG